AAUUGGAAUAUGUAUGGGUCGUUUUUGUUCCCAGGUUUUUUAAACGAACUCCUGCUACGUGGAGGAGACGUUCCAUGCAUGGCUUUUGGGUUUUCUUUAAGGCUUUUUUUGUUAUAUUGCCUCUUUUUUUGAAACAAAAGUGACUGUCAUAACUUACAUUAUGGAAGUUCACACAAGCCAACUUCAGUCUACACAAAAAG
Molecule: unclassified non-coding RNA, 200 nt
Filed under: Hevea brasiliensis (rubber tree)
Lineage: Eukaryota; Viridiplantae; Streptophyta; Magnoliopsida; Malpighiales; Euphorbiaceae
Source: RNAcentral